AGAGUUUGAUCAUGGCUCAGGAUGAACGUUGGCGGUACGCCUAAUACAUGCAAGUCGAACGGAGAUUGUAGCAAUACUGUCUUAGUGGCGAACGGGUGAGUAACGCGUUGGUGAUCUGCCUCGAAGUGUGGAAUAACGGUUCGAGAGAACCGCUAAUACCGCAUAGUCUCCCAUUUUUUAGAAAUUUAGGAGUAAAGGAUUUAUUCGCUUCGAGAGGAGCCUGCGUCCCAUCAGCUAGUUGGUAGGGUAAAAGCCUACCAAGGCUAUGACGGGUAGGGGACCUGAGAGGGUGGCCCCCCACAAUGGAACUGAAACACGGUCCAUACACCUACGGGUGGCAGCAGUAGGGAAUAUUAGUAAUGGAGGAAACUCUGAACUAGCGAUACCGCGUGCGCGAAGAAGGCCUUCGGGUUGUAAAGCGCUUUUUGGAAGGAUGAGGAAGGACGGUACUUCCAGAAUAAGUCUCGGCUAACUACGUGCCAGCAGCCGCGGUAACACGUAGGAGGCAAACGUUAUCCGGAUUUACUGGGCGUAAAGCGCGUGUAGGUGGUAUGGUAAGUAGGGCGUGAAAGCUCCUGGCUCAACUAGGAGAGGCCGUUCUAAACUACCGUACUCGAGUUUGGCAGAGGAAGAUGGAAUUCCAGGUGUAGCGGUAAAAUGCGCAGAUAUCUGGAGGAACACCAGUGGCGAAAGCGAUCUUCUGGGCCAAUACUGACACUCAGACGCGAAAGCUAGGGUAGCAAACGGGAUUA
This 752-nucleotide ribosomal RNA is filed under the name uncultured bacterium. Its description in RNAcentral is "bacterial SSU rRNA". It matches the Rfam family "Bacterial small subunit ribosomal RNA", at positions 8 to 780 of the family's 1533-position model. The record is from RNAcentral.